AAAUUGAAGAGUUUGAUCAUGGCUCAGAUUGAACGCUGGCGGCAGGCCUAACACAUGCAAGUCGAGCGGAAACGAGUUAUCAAAGCCUUCGGGUGGCGAUAACGGCGUCGAGCGGCGGACGGGUGAGUAAUGCCUAGGAAAUUGCCCUGAUGUGGGGGAUAACCAUUGGAAACGAUGGCUAAUACCGCAUGAUGCCUACGGGCCAAAGAGGGGGACCUUCGGGCCUCUCGCGUCAGGAUAUGCCUAGGUGGGAUUAGCUAGUUGGUGAGGUAAGGGCUCACCAAGGCGACGAUCCCUAGCUGGUCUGAGAGGAUGAUCAGCCACACUGGAACUGAGACACGGUC
RNAcentral lists this ribosomal RNA (344 nucleotides) under Vibrio alginolyticus. Its description in RNAcentral is "bacterial SSU rRNA". It matches the Rfam family "Bacterial small subunit ribosomal RNA", at positions 1 to 331 of the family's 1533-position model. The record is from RNAcentral. Lineage: Bacteria; Pseudomonadati; Pseudomonadota; Gammaproteobacteria; Vibrionales; Vibrionaceae.